Molecule: ribosomal RNA, 1333 nt
Filed under: metagenome
Description: bacterial LSU rRNA
Rfam family: Bacterial large subunit ribosomal RNA
Source: RNAcentral
GCGGGGCGUCGGGGCGAGGCGUGAUGAUGGGGGCCUUACGGCCCGAAUCCGGUGAUCCGUGGUGCCGAGAAAAGCUUCGGCGUCAGGCGCGUUGCCGCCCGUACCCUAAACCGACACUGGUGGUCAGGUAGAGAAUACCAAAGCGAUCGAGCGAAUCCUGGUCAAGGAACUCGGCAAAUUGCUCCCGUGCCUUCGGCAUAAGGGAGACCCCCUGCGGUGAUGAGCGGCGGGGGGUGGCACAGGCCAGGGGGUAGCGACUGUUUACCAAAAACACAGGAGCGUGCGAAGGCGCAAGCCGCUGUAUACGCUCUGACGCCUGCCCGGUGCCGGAAGGUUAAGAGGAUCCGUCAGCUUUCUGCGAAGCGGUGAAUUCAAGCCCCGGUAAACGGCGGUGGUAACGAUAACCAUCCUAAGGUAGCGAAAUUCCUUGUCGGGUAAGUUCCGACCUGCACGGAUGGCGUAACGACUUCCCCACUGUCUCGACCAGGAGCUCGGCGAAAUUGCAGUACGAGUAAAGAUGCUCGUUAAGCGCAGAAGGACGAAAAGACCCCGGGACCUUUACUAUACCUUGGUAUUGGCAUUAGGCGCGGAUUGUGUAGCAUAGGCGGGAGGCUUCGAGGCGGGUGCGCCAGCAUCCGCGGAGCCGCAAGGUGAAAUACCGCUCUGUUCUCGUUUGAUGUCUAACCUCGAACAGUCAUCCUGUUCAGGGACAGUGCCUGGCGGGUAGUUCAACUGGGGCGGUUGCCUCCCAAAGAGUAACGGAGGCGCUCAAAGGUCCGCUCAGCCCGGUUGGCAAUCGGGUGUCGAGUGUAAUCGCACAAGCGGGCUUGACUGCGAGAUCGACGGAUCGAGCAGGGACGAAAGCCGGAGAUAGUGAUCCGGUGCCGGCGCACGGGCGCGGCAUCGCUCAACGGAUAAAAGGUACCCCGGGGAUAACAGGCUGAUCAUUCCCAAGAGUCCAUAUCGACGGGAUGGUUUGGCACCUCGAUGUCGGCUCGUCGCAUCCUGGGGCUGGAGCAGGUCCCAAGGGUUCGGCUGUUCGCCGAUCAAAGCGGCACGCGAGCUGGGUUCAGAACGUCGUGAGACAGUUUGGUCUCUAUCCUCUGCGCUCGUUGGAAUCUUGAGGAGGCCUGCCCAUAGUACGAGAGGACCUGGGUGGACGAACCUCUGGUAUGCCGGUCGUCACGCCAGUGGCGCGGCCGGUUGGUUACGUUCGGAAGGGAUAACCGCUGAAAGCAUCUAAGCGGGAAGCCUUCUCCAAGAUAAGGAUUCCAUGCGGCCCCGAGCCGCUGAAGACCCCAUGCAGAACACGUGGUCGAUAGGCCGGACGUGG